GGAGAAGUAUUGAAGUGGUCGUAACUUGGCGCACUCGAAAUGCGUUUGUCACCUAGUAAGUGGCACGUGGGUUCGAAUCCCACCUUCUCCGCCA
Molecule: transfer RNA, 94 nt
Filed under: Clostridiales bacterium
Lineage: Bacteria; Bacillati; Bacillota; Clostridia; Eubacteriales
Description: tRNA-Ser
Rfam family: tRNA
About the family: Transfer RNA (tRNA) molecules are approximately 80 nucleotides in length. Their secondary structure includes four short double-helical elements and three loops (D, anti-codon, and T loops). Further hydrogen bonds mediate the characteristic L-shaped molecular structure. tRNAs have two regions of fundamental functional importance: the anti-codon, which is responsible for specific mRNA codon recognition, and the 3' end, to which the tRNAs corresponding amino acid is attached (by aminoacyl-tRNA synthetases). tRNAs cope with the degeneracy of the genetic code in two manners: having more than one tRNA (with a specific anti-codon) for a particular amino acid; and 'wobble' base-pairing, i.e. permitting non-standard base-pairing at the 3rd anti-codon position.
Source: RNAcentral